Alligator mississippiensis (American alligator) is the source of this 1686-nucleotide long non-coding RNA. RefSeq lists it as uncharacterized. The record is from RefSeq and is a predicted model, not a curated record. Lineage: Eukaryota; Metazoa; Chordata; Crocodylia; Alligatoridae. The transcript has 3 exons.
CCCAGAGUUGCUGGCUUGCUUAGUGUUGGGUGUGACUGUGGGCUACAAAUCCCAGAGGCACCUGGAAGCAGGAAGAGGAAGUGAUAAGAAACCCUGUUCAGUCCAGGAUCAGAGUAACAGGACUCCAAAUCCCAGAGACUUCAGGGGCAGCAGGACGAGCAAGUGAACACACAUCGCAGGCUGUAUUUAUAAUUUUUAGUUUAUAGUUUUUCAGAGAGAACUAUUUUUGUUCAAGCUUUUAUGAUUUCAGCACUAUUACCUUCCCCCACCUGAGACAGAGCACAAGCUAGGGCCUGGCCAUGUACUUAGCCCAAAGGGCAGAAUUGAGAUACUGAGCAGGGAGCUCCAGAGACAGAAGCAGGACCCUGCAGUUUGAGGUAAAGCAUGUGAGUGAGAUCUUUUGUGAGCCCCCCCUGCUGAGCUGGGUGGCACAUAACACUCAAUGGCUGUUUUUUUUACCUUAUCUUGCAAUAUAUCUGAUGGUUUUCAGAGACACACACUCAAGCUUAAAUAAUUUGUUUGUUACUUUAAAUUUUGUUGACAGAUUCACUAGUUCAUUAGAUCAGUGUAAACCAGUCAAAUUCUUUGGGCCAGUUCAGGUGAAUUUACAGCUGUUUUGCAUCGCAGGAGCUGUGGAAAAGCACUGAAAAGUACAGGUGAACCUGAUUCUUAUUUUGCAACUGUUUGGUUACAUUUGAGGGCUAUGAUACAAAAACUGUCUGUACUGUGAAAGGAGGAGCAGAGGGAAUACAUUCCCAGUUCUAAUGUAGUUGUGCUUUAUGACCCUGCCCAGCACUUCUGUCUCAAUUUUCCUAGCUGCGUUCCCUCAGUGGACAGUAAAGCCAUCGAGGUAGCAAUGCAAUAAGAUGCCUGUUUAAGGAAGUGAUACCCAAGCAAGGAUAUAGGUGUAGAAUGUCUUAACAUCAGUGGCAAAUGGCCUAAAAAAUUUCCCAAGGAAGGAACUCCUCACAUUUCUUGUCUCCAUCCUGUUAGCAGCUUCAAUGAGGUCCAGGAGCAAUACUGCAUCACCCCAGGUUCUCACCAAGCCACAGCAUCAUCAUCUUGCAUUCCAAUGAAGUCCAGACUGUCCCUUGCCAACUGAAAAGUCACGAGUGGGAAUUUGUAUUGUUUCCUCAUGAGAUUCAUUUUUUGUCAUCCUGCUGAUUGGGCAAAAGGUGUGAAUCACAGCCAAAGGAAAAUAUGAUUUGAAUUCCAUGGUGCCAGAAGGACCUUACAAGGCCACUUCAUCUCAUAGGAAGCCUUGUGCCAGAGAAGAAGAGGAGAAAACCUUGUCUGGAAUCUACAAAACAAUGGUUUAGCAUGAAAAUGAGAACUUGCUUGAUGUGGUCUUAGCUACCUUGGACGUUUUAAUUUGUGUUGAACUCCUGUGUUUGUAUGUGAUAUUUUGUUCCUCAAGUAUGUCUUUAACCAUCUAACUAGAGCGCUUUCCCCACCAACUUUGUCUUAUGCUAUAUAUUUUGAAAUAUUUUUCAUUUCCCUAAAUCUACUGCUAUAUCCCCCAAUUAUGGUUAUGGCUGUCUCCUUAAGGAGACUGGUUUCUGUAUCCAAAAUUCACCUUUCUAACCUCCGUCUAUUUUUUGCAUAGCCUUGUUUGAAGCAGCAUCACAGGAUUUGAUAUAAUGUAAAGAAAAAAUAGUUCCUCAAUCUUAUUUGUCUUACAAAAGU